This is a long non-coding RNA of Oreochromis aureus, 1052 nucleotides long. Lineage: Eukaryota; Metazoa; Chordata; Actinopteri; Cichliformes; Cichlidae. The record is from Ensembl.
UUGCUGGUCUAUGUCAUGGAUGUAUUUUGAUCAGAAGCAGCUCAAUAAAAAUGCAGAUGCUUCAGCCGAUUGUACAAAUAAAAAAAACAAAAAAACAAAAAACAACCCAGAAAUCAUUUGCAAUGACACUCAUGCACGUUUACAAUACUAAAGUAUGAGUGCACUUAAACAUGUACAUUCUAAUAUGCUGAUGCCUUCUGCAUGAUAAAUACUUUAUAGCAAAGUAAGAGCACACUACUACACUCUGAUAUGCCAAAAUGAGCAAUUCAUCGUUACAUACUAUAAUUAAUCUAGCAGUUUUACAGGAGUGAGGUCAAUAUGGGACUGCAUGCCCUGCUUCUGUACAUGAAUGCUGAUGUCUGUGUGCCGCUUGUGGUGUUUACUACUAUAGUGUUCUAAAUGUGAGUACAUGGCUCUAUUAGUGUAUACCAUUUUCCUAAUGGUACAUAUCUACAAUUAGCAUUACUUUAUUUUAGGAUUUUUUUACAUCCCUCAAGUAUUAAACGUAACCUUUUUGGUCUCAUAGUAGGCCUAUAUGGAGUGUUAAGAGAGUGUAGUGAUAUGAGAGGUAAAAGUUGGCAAUCUCAAGAUUUUCUCACUAUUUGUGUUUCCGCUGCAGGUAUCAAGCCACCAAAGUCAAUCAUUUGUGUGGAAACACGGGCACAUCAAGUCACUUUGCCGGAGCCUUUACCCUCGUAGAUCGAACCCCUUCCUCUGGAGCCGUGGCUCCACUGACCCAGCCCGCCAGACCUGUCCGGAGGGUGAGCGUGCCGAGGAGGGGAGCCAGAUAAGCUAGACGGAGAGCGGCUACGGCCCUGCAGUGCCCCGCCGUCGCGGAGCUCCCGGGACGGGGAGGAGCUGAGCGAACGCUGUAGGGAGGAAGAUGAGUUGCGAGGGCAAGGAGGCGGGCUGAAGAGCAUCCCGCUGCGGUCCUGCAUCAGCUGGGUCAGGCUUGCCAGGAAGUCUGCGUCGCUGGUGCUGCUGGCACGCACCCUUAACCGCCGCCGUCUGCAAAAAAAAAAAAAAAACAACAAAAAAAAAAAACAACAAAA